Microtus ochrogaster (prairie vole) is the source of this 522-nucleotide non-coding RNA. The record is from the annotation of a RefSeq genome assembly. Lineage: Eukaryota; Metazoa; Chordata; Mammalia; Rodentia; Cricetidae.
AUGUGCUCCUGGAACACCCGGCAGAUGGUUUUUGGAGCUGGCACGAAGCUCUUUGUGGAGCCCCAAAUUCAGCUUCCUACUACACCAUCUGUUUUCAUUAUGAAAAAUGGAACGAAUGUUGCCUGUCUGGUAAAGGACUUCUAUCCCAAGGACGUGAAUAUAAGUCUCAAGUCAUCCAAGAAGAUAGCAGAAUUUGACCCUGCUAUAGUCAUCUCCCCCAGCGGGAAGUACACUGCUGUCAAGCUUGGUCAGUAUGGAGAUUCGAAUUCAGUGACAUGUUCGGUUCAGCACAACAGUGGAACUGUGCACUCUACAGACUUUGAACCACAUGCAAAUUCUCCUGAUGACAUAAAACCACCAGAACAGGAAAGUGUCACACAAACUUCAGAGACUUGCCAUGGCUCAAAAGUUCACAGCAAGAAGGUUAACAUGAUGUCCCUCGUAGUGCUGGGGCUACGGAUGCUGUUUGUCAAGAGUGUGGCCAUCAACUUUCUCUUUACUGCCAAGUUACUCUUCUUUUAA